GCAUCGAUGAUCUAGUGGUAUGAUUUUGGCCUUCCAAGCCAACAGCCCGGGUUCGAAUCCCGGCCGAUGCA
Molecule: transfer RNA, 71 nt
Filed under: Methanomicrobiales archaeon
Lineage: Archaea; Methanobacteriati; Methanobacteriota; Methanomicrobia; Methanomicrobiales
Description: tRNA-Gly
Rfam family: tRNA
About the family: Transfer RNA (tRNA) molecules are approximately 80 nucleotides in length. Their secondary structure includes four short double-helical elements and three loops (D, anti-codon, and T loops). Further hydrogen bonds mediate the characteristic L-shaped molecular structure. tRNAs have two regions of fundamental functional importance: the anti-codon, which is responsible for specific mRNA codon recognition, and the 3' end, to which the tRNAs corresponding amino acid is attached (by aminoacyl-tRNA synthetases). tRNAs cope with the degeneracy of the genetic code in two manners: having more than one tRNA (with a specific anti-codon) for a particular amino acid; and 'wobble' base-pairing, i.e. permitting non-standard base-pairing at the 3rd anti-codon position.
Source: RNAcentral